AUAAGAUGUGGCUCCUCCAUGUCGACGGCUCCUCCAACCGACAAGGAUCCGGAGUAGGAAUACAACUCACCUCCCCCACCGGGGAAGUCAUCGAACAAUCGUUCCGACUCGGAUUCAACGCAUCAAACAACGCGUCUGAGUACGAAGCCCUCAUUGCUGGCAUUAAGCUAGCUCAAGGAAUGGGGAUCUGCGAUAUACACGCAUACAACUCGUCACCAGCCAGUUCCACGGGGAAUACGAAGCUAAAGACGGGCGCAUGGAAGCGUACCUCGAACUAGACAAAACCUUGACCCAACAGUUUGAAUUGUUUGAAUUAACCAGGAUCCCUAGAGGAGAAAACACCUCUGUAGACGCCUUGGCAGCUCUCGCUUCCACGUCAGAUCCUUUCGCCAAAAGAAUUAUCCCGGUCGAAGGAAUAGAACACCCGAGCAUCGACCUAACGGUCAAACAUGCUGGGAUGGAAACCUCGACAACUUGCAACUUCACGCGAGUAACCUAAAGCACCACCGCCGCAGAUAGAGCUCUCGCAGCAGCCGCGGAGGUAAGUGCAGCGGAGCUCGAAACCCCCAAACAACCUGCCCCAUACGAACCUGAACCGUACAACGACUGGAGAAUCCCAAUCAUCGAUUACAUCGAACGAGGGAUCACACCUCCCGACAAGUGGGAGGCCAAAAAACUCAAAGCCCAGAGUGCAAGGUACUGUAUCAUGGAAGGGAGACUUAUGAAACGCAGCGUCGCAGGACCCUAUAUGAUGUGUACCUAUGGGCAACAAACAAAAGACCUCAUGAAAAGCAUGCACAAAGGACAAUGUGGUAGCCACUGUAGUGGACGUACCCUCGCCCUCAGAAUCAAAAAGCAAGGCUACUUCUGGCCAACAAUGCUAACCGAUUGCAUAGCUCACUCACUCAGGUGCGAUAAGUGCCAACGGCACGCACCUACUCUGCACCAACCUCCCGGGGAAAUGUCCUCAAUAUCUUCUCCUCACCCGUUCAUGAAGUGGUCCAUGGACGUCGUAGGUCCCAUGGAAGCCUCCGGUGGGAAGAAAAGACUAAAAAAAACUUCUGGUCCUCAUCGACUACUCGACCAAAUGGAUUGAGGCUAAAGCCUUCCAACAGGUAACCGAGAAACAAGUUGAGGACUUCCUGUGGGAAAAUAUUGUAUGCCGACAUGGCAUACCAAAUGAGAUCGUCACCGAUAACAGAACUAACUUCACCUCGGGAAAAAUCAAAGCAUUCUGCGACAAGUAGAAGAUCCAUCUUACCACGUCCACCCCCCGUUACCCACAAGGUAACGGACAGGCAGAAGCCGCCAACAAAGCUAUACUUAGCAACAUCAAGAAAAGACUUGAUU
RNAcentral lists this small RNA (1350 nucleotides) under Arabidopsis thaliana (thale cress). RNAcentral describes it as "ATSL095380". Lineage: Eukaryota; Viridiplantae; Streptophyta; Magnoliopsida; Brassicales; Brassicaceae. The record is from RNAcentral.